Molecule: long non-coding RNA, 794 nt
Filed under: Homo sapiens (human)
Lineage: Eukaryota; Metazoa; Chordata; Mammalia; Primates; Hominidae
Description: HSALNT0093947
Source: RNAcentral
CUUUUCCUCUUUUUAAAAUUUUAUUUAAUGCUUAUACAACCAAAUAAAAGUGAAAGAGCAACAGGCUGUAUGAAGAGCCCUCAAUCUCAUUCUGCACCUCUUUCUGUCUUAUACUUCCAGCAUUGAUCGGUGCCUCAAAUAUUUGGCUAUGGAGCAGCCAUAAUAGGAUUUCAACUAUGUGCUGUCAGAGAAUUUCUCCAGGGGUUUGGACCAGUUCUUCACAGACAACCUCAACCCAUUAGCUUUGCAACCAGACUGAUGCACUUGGAAGAAUCAUUAAAAAGACAUGGUACAUCUCCAGAACAAAACUAAGGUCCUACUUGAAACUGAAUGCAGGUGUCUUCAACUGUGUGUUUAAAACAAAGAAGAUCCAGGACACACUGCUCAAACUGUUAGCAUGAAUCUAACAUAAAUCCAAAGCUGUUCUCCUGGCAGAAAAGUAGCACAGCCCUGUGCUGAACCCACUCAAGCAGAUUUUAUUGAUGCAACUGCCUGGGGUACACUGGGCCACUAUGUCCAUAAAAAUAAUAAUUAAGCUGUGGGAUGUAUUACACAGCUUAGUACCUGAACUAAGCUCAGAGCAUUGAUUAAUAUUUCUAUUUAUAUGUCUUGUUUUUUGUCAUUGAGUAAGGUACCUCUAAUCUAUUUAGCAUCUUUCACUUCCAUUUUACUUUUAUCACCACCUCCAAUAAAAGAGAAUCAAGAAAGCAAUGGAGUUUCCUUUCAAUAAAACAAUAAGAAGGCCUAUCUCCUGAAUGUGUUUUUCAGAUUGAAAUCAUUUAGAUUUACUUGCA